Molecule: long non-coding RNA, 317 nt
Filed under: Elaeis guineensis (African oil palm)
Lineage: Eukaryota; Viridiplantae; Streptophyta; Magnoliopsida; Arecales; Arecaceae
Description: long non-coding RNA (EGUI_LNC018526)
Source: RNAcentral
AUGGGGAACAACGGCUGCUCUUUCGAUGGAAUAAUGCUUAGGAAAGAAUGUUGGACUGAUAAGAGUACGCUAUGUAGUUACAUCCUGGUUCAUGAAGUGUUGCUUGGAUUUAUUUCUAGUAGUGGAAAGACAUGCCAUUUAUUGCUCGAUGGAUAGUUAUAUUCUUUCAAGCUGUCGAUUGGUGAUUGAUGUGGGCACUGGCAUGUUUAAAUAGAGGCCAAAGGCCAGUUGAACCCCACCUUUCAUCUUUCUUCCCUUUGCAGAAACUUCUUCUCUCCUCUGUCGUCAUGGCACCAACUUUGCCAAUGAUCUAGGCC